UUUGUAUUUUGGAUUUUAUGAUGUACUAUUUCAUGCUUUCAUUAGUGGAUUUAGUUCCUUUGUUUAUCUAUUCUACUUAUCUCUAGAAUCUAGAUGUAUGCUCUGAUAUCUUUAGAUACUCGAUAUACUUGUCUUAUUAUCGCUUUAUUGUAGACGUCUUAUAUGUGUUGACAUAUGGCGGGUCUGGACCCACACCGGGCGGGCCUCCGCUAGGUCUCGAGGCGUGACAUAUAUAUAUAGAGAGAGAGAGAGAGUAGAGCUACUAUGCUAUCUGAAGCAUAAAUUGGUUGGUGCUUCCAAUUUUUUAGCCCUUAGAUCAACUCCAUUGAUCAUUUCUAAUCAUUAGAUUAAUAUUAUUAACCAAAGGGGAUUCACUAAACCCUAGGGUGACCACUCAACCCUAAGGGGAUCGCUAUCAUCCCAACCGUAAAAUUUUUUAUCAAAGGGUUAAAAAAUCGGAAGCAUCAACUUCUUUAUGCUUUCGAUAGCAUAGUAGCUCCACACUAUAUAUAUAUACACUAGUUAAGGAAUUCGUCGUAACGGUUCUUUUACUUUCUUUACAGAUAAUUAAUAAAUAACAAAAUAUUUUUAUUUAUAAAAUAAAUAUUUCACUUUAUUAAAUAAACAAAUUUUAGAGGCAUUUUCCAUCACAAAGUAAUGGGCGUGCAUUUUCCAUCAAAAUUUUAUUUUUUUUCUUUUUAAAUUUUAGAUAUUCAAAUUUUAAAUUUUAAAUUUUUAAAUUUUAUAUUUUAUAUUUUAUAUUUCAAAUUUUAAAUCUCAAAUUUUAAAUUUUAAAUUUCAAAUUUUAAAUAUUAAAUUUUAAAUUUUUAAUUUUUAAUUUUUAAAUUUUUAAAUUUUAAAUUUUAAAUUUUAAAUUUAAAUUUUUAUUUUUAAAUUUUUUAACCUUUUAAAUCUUAAAUUUCAAAUUUAAAUUUUAAAUUUAGAUUUUAAAUUUGAAAUUAAAAAUUUAAAUUUACAUGUAAAAUUCAAAUUGUAAAUUUUAGAUUUUCAAAUUUGAACUUUAUUUUUUAAAUCAAAAUAUCAAAUUUUAAAUUUUUUAUAAAUUUUAUAUUUUAUUAAAAUAUUAAAUUAUUUUAAAAUAAAAUUUAGUAAAAAUAUUAUUAUAUCUAAACAUCAAAUUUUUUUCCCAAACAGCUUAACAAAAUCUUUCAACAAAAUAGCUUUUUGUUUAAACUCAGCGAAAUGCUCUACAGCUUUUAACCAAAAUCACUUCUCCAAAUCAAAAUUAAUUUUAAAAAAAUUACUUUUCCAAAAGUUAGGCCAAACGGGCCCUUUUUUUACUUAACCAGAAAAUGCUGAAAGAGCGCCAUCCUAGUGUCCCUAUAUAUAUAUAUAUAUAUAUAUAUAUAGAGAGAGAGAGAGAGAGAGAGAGAGAGAGAGAGAGAGAGAGAGAGUUGAGCUAGAAUACUAUCGAUAGCAAACGGGUUCCGUUGCCACCCAUUUGUUUUCGAUGAUAGAGCCUCCAAAUCGACGAUCGGCACUGUUGAAUAUGAUCUAUACUACUUAAAGUGUUUAAAAAUCAAAUUUCAAAUCUUUUCGACAUCAUUUGCCUAAUGAUCAAAGGGUUUCAAAAUUUGUAAUUUUAAUGGUCAAUAUGAGGCGUUUUCUCGUUUAACGACGUAAAGAUAUACAAAUCAAUUGAAUUUUUGUUAUAAAAUUCUUUAAACUAUUUAAAACAAGAUCUAUACUCUUGAUCUGGAAUACAAGACUCCUAUCAUUAUUUUUUAAAGAAUAUUCAUUUUCAGCCGUUCAUUUUUGUGUCCACUCGAUGGAUAAGAAAACAAUAUCGAAAAAGUAUGAAAUUUGAUUUCUAGAUACUUCAAGUGGUAUAGAUCAUAUUCAACAGUGCCAAUCGUCGAUUUGGAGGCUCCAUCAUCGAAAACAAAUGGGUGGCAACGGAGCCCAUUAGCUACCGAUAGUAUUCCAGCUCAACUCUAUAUAUAUAUAUAUAUAUACACUAGUUAAGGAACCCCUAUGUAACGGUUCUUUUACCUUCUUUACAAAUAAUUAAUAAAUAACAAAAUAUUUUUAUUUAUAAAAUAAAUAACAAUAUAUUUCACUUUAGUAAAUAAACAAAUUUUAGAGGCAUUUUCCAUCACAACGUAAUGGGCCUGCAUUUUCCAUCACAAAUUUUAUUUUUUCUUUUUAAAUUUUAGAUAUUCAAAAUUUUAAAUUUGAAAUUUUUAAAUUUUAUAUUUUAUAUUUUAUAUUUUAUAUUUUAUAUUUCAAGUUUCAAAUUUUAAAUUUCAAAAUUUUCAAAUUUAAACUUUAUUUUUAAAAUUAAAAUAUCAAAUUUUAAAUUUUUUAUAAAUUUUAUAUUUUAUUCAAAUAUUAAAUUAUUUUAAAAUAAAAUUUUCUAAAAAUAUUAUUAUAUCUAAACAUCAAAAUAUUUUUACCAAACAGCUUAACAAAAUCUUUCAGAAAAAUAGUUUUUUGUCGAAACUCAGCGAAACGCUAUACAGCUUUUAACCAAAAUCACUUCUCCAAAUCAAAAUUAAUUUUGCAAAAAUCACUUUUCCAAAAUUUA
This 2548-nucleotide long non-coding RNA is filed under the name Ananas comosus (pineapple). RNAcentral's name for it is "long non-coding RNA (ACOM_LNC028231)". Lineage: Eukaryota; Viridiplantae; Streptophyta; Magnoliopsida; Poales; Bromeliaceae. The record is from RNAcentral.